AUUGAACGCUGGCGGCAGGCCUAACACAUGCAAGUCGAGCGGAGGAAGGGAGCUUGCUCCUGGAUUCAGCGGCGGACGGGUGAGUAAUGCCUAGGAAUCUUCCUGGUAGUGGGGGAUAACGUCCGGAAACGGGCGCUAAUACCGCAUACGUCCUGAGGGAGAAAGUGGGGGAUCUUCGGACCUCACGCUAUCAGAUGAGCCUAGGUCGGAUUAGCUAGUUGGUGGGGUAAAGGCCUACCAAGGCGACGAUCCGUAACUGGUCUGAGAGGAUGAUCAGUCACACUGGAACUGAGACACGGUCCAGACUCCUACGGGAGGCAGCAGUGGGGAAUAUUGGACAAUGGGCGAAAGCCUGAUCCAGCCAUGCCGCGUGUGUGAAGAAGGUCUUCGGAUUGUAAAGCACUUUCAGUUGGGAGGAAGGGCAGUAAGUUAAUACCUUGCUGUUUUGACGUUACCAACAGAAUAAGCACCGGCUAACUUCGUG
This 484-nucleotide ribosomal RNA is filed under the name uncultured bacterium. RNAcentral describes it as "partial 16S ribosomal RNA". It matches the Rfam family "Bacterial small subunit ribosomal RNA", at positions 30 to 507 of the family's 1533-position model. The record is from RNAcentral.